GGUAGGUUUAAGUGACUGGGUGAUCAGUGUUAGAUGAAGGUAGAAAUGGAGUUAGAUGGAAAUGUGGAGAUUUUGAAAAAAGAAGAAAGAGGAAGAGAAGGAGGAGGAAGAGGAGAAGCAGCAGCAUUCAUAAAAGGAGCAGAGAUGCUUGCCCUCGAAACCCAGCCACUUUACGGUGAGGAAGGCCAAACUAGGCCAUGUGGAGAGACCACAUGAAGAGGCCCACGUGUAGAGGAACUGAGGCCCCCAACCACAGCCAGCAUCAAUCGUCAGACACACAGCGCACUCAGUGCAGGGACUUUUGGCAAGGCCUUCUGCGUGCAGCCCUCCCAAGAUGUAGGACCCUGGGAAAAACUGCCGGCUGUUUGUUUUGUGGUGACGGCAGCAAAGCUCACUCGGAA
RNAcentral lists this long non-coding RNA (401 nucleotides) under Equus asinus (donkey). Its description in RNAcentral is "lncRNA (ENSEASG00005037029.1)". Lineage: Eukaryota; Metazoa; Chordata; Mammalia; Perissodactyla; Equidae. The record is from RNAcentral.